GGGAGAAGUCUGAUGCGGAAACAACU
RNAcentral lists this non-coding RNA (26 nucleotides) under Cricetulus griseus (Chinese hamster). The record is from RNAcentral. Lineage: Eukaryota; Metazoa; Chordata; Mammalia; Rodentia; Cricetidae.